RNAcentral lists this ribosomal RNA (112 nucleotides) under Ctenophora environmental sample. Its description in RNAcentral is "partial Bacterial large subunit ribosomal RNA". It matches the Rfam family "Bacterial large subunit ribosomal RNA", at positions 1 to 120 of the family's 2925-position model. Lineage: Eukaryota; Metazoa; Ctenophora. The record is from RNAcentral.
CAAUAAGGGCAUAUGGUGGAUGCCUUGGCACAAGAUGGCGAUGAAGGACGUGGCUUGCUGCGAUAAGCUUCGGGUAGGUGUAAGCAACCUUUGAUCCGGAGAUUUCCGAAUG